GUACAUUAUUAUUACUCCGUAGAGCAUUAAAAUAACAUGCAUAUAAUAACUCGUGUUUAUAAAAAGGGGACUACUCCCGUUACAGUUUCGUCCCAUGGUGCACAGAGGUGUGUGUGGAUAAAGAUUAAGAGUCGAGCACGCGAUCGUUUAGAACGCAGUCUCAAAACUCUGGGUCUUCAGUAAUGAUCCUUCCGCAGGUUCACCUACGGAAA
RNAcentral lists this unclassified non-coding RNA (212 nucleotides) under uncultured fungus. RNAcentral's name for it is "sequence contains ITS1". The record is from RNAcentral. Lineage: Eukaryota; Fungi.